This is a long non-coding RNA of Mirounga angustirostris (Northern elephant seal), 264 nucleotides long. RefSeq lists it as uncharacterized. Lineage: Eukaryota; Metazoa; Chordata; Mammalia; Carnivora; Phocidae. The record is from RefSeq and is a predicted model, not a curated record. The transcript has 3 exons.
AGAUGAGUCUCAGGUGCCAUCUGGUGUGGAAGCCAGUGACUACAUAGCUGCAAAGGAAAAGGUAAAAAGAUGCAUCCAGAAAAAAGAGCUUGCUGAUCCCUGAUCUACAGGCCACAUUCUAUGCUGCAUGCUUGAAGAAAGUGGACACUCAGUCUGAACACAAGACAAUGGAAGAGCUAUAUAAUAGAUCAGCUUCAUUCUAGGCUGGUGCCUCUCUAGCCAAAAGAUGGUUGUCAACUCACUCCCCCCAGGAUAUGUUCUUCC